CAUCUUUGCAAUAGCACGGUUACGUGAAACAAGGGCGUAGAUUUGGCAUGGACAGAAGGGACAUGUCCCCACCAAUAUCCAGCGAUUAUUGAAUUGUCCCCACCAAUAAGAUAUCUUUGGGUAAAGAAAAACAAACCCGAUAGAAAGAAAAAAACGAUCUGUCAACGUCUCAUUCACCUAGCGGUGCAGAAAGAGUUAAACUGGAGUCCUACAUCAUGUGACAAAUAUGGUCAAUGUGAUUGGCUGUGCCUUUCAGGGAGCUCUGUUUAGUUUUAGCAGCGGCAAGCUCCUCUCCUCCUGUGCGGACCUGCAAGGAGGAGAGGAGGGUGGCAGCAAAAAGGAAGAACCUGGAUAUAAGAAAGUAUUUUUCAAAGAAACCUGUGGCAAACAGGACGGUCAACCCAUCAAAGCAAAAACCACAGAAGAGAAAGAGACCUGGAAUGUGGGGCCCAUUGGGCCAGUAGUUUACCCAUCAUACAUUGCUGCAACCAGAAACUCCUUCCUGCAUUUUUCCAUUGACCUGGGUGCUUCAAUAAUCGACGCAUAUAAACUAUCAAAACAACAGAUUCUCUGCAAACAUGUUGCAACAUUGCAGUUGGUGCAGCAGUCACCUCGCAUACAUGACCAAAAUAGACAGAUGUUUGAGCCAGCUCACUAGAUUUCUCUGAAAAGUCAGAAAUUAAACACAAAUAACAUUUAACCACUAAAACUAAUUUCGGAAGUAAAUAUAAGGCGGAGUAUUAGGGCCACAUUAGGAAAAUAAAAUAUUUUGAUCGAUUUGAGAAUAAAGUCAAACUUUCAAGAUUAAAUUUGAAAAUCUAUUUUGAGCAAAGCAUCGAAAUGUUGUUGUUUCAAGACAAACUGCCAUGUUUCUUAUACCCUCUACAAAAUGCCUUGCGUAGAUGAAUUAGCCAUUUCAAAUUGUACAAAUCCACUCUUCCAAGUUUGUGUGUUUCCGUCUGACCAGAUGCAGCUUUCUGCACCAUCAUUUCAACGUCCUUUUACUUAUCACCAUAAUAUGUUUGUGUGCUAAAAGAGAAAUCAUUUCCUUCCUUGUUACUUAAGCCAAUUCUGAAGUGCAAUUUCACUCAGAGGGUACAGCAACCAUGGCUGAUUGUCUUGAAACAAAAUAGAAUUACAAUGUUAUUCUCAAAAUGAUCAUUAAUAUUUUUUUAUCUUUAUGUGGCCCUAAUACUACUUUGUAUAAAUAACCUUGGCAUCUUAAUUUUUUUUAAAACUCCUAAAGCACUUAACUGUUUUCAGGUUGUUUUGGUAAAACUAUGAAUUUGAAAAAUCGUAGAUAACAACAAUAAUUAUUUUUAUGUUAUAAAAAUGUAUAAACAUUGCAUGUUGGAGGAUUAACCACAGGAACAUACAAAGUGGUUUUGGUAAACCUUCCACUGGAUAGUAAUAAUAAUUUUGUUAAGUACUGCAUGUGCUGAGUAUAAACUGGACUAAUAAAAUAUUUAAUGCACUUCACAUUUGUGUGAAUUAGACUGAUAUUCUGAAAAGAAGCUGUGUAGUAAAUUGUAAGAUUAUCAGAUGAUGACAAAUAAAAAGAUAAGAUGGUGUUAAACACAGUGCCAGAAAAUCAGAUGAGUGAGUGUAAAAUGUACUGAUUGACACCGUGUUUGUUAUUCUAGAUGAAUAUUUGCUUCUCCUUCAAACCCCUGACUCACUGACUUUGAAUAACUGUAAAACUUCCACAUGUCUUCUGAAAAUUUUAUUCAGUAACUUACUGACUUACCUGUGUUGGUUUUAAGACAGUGAAAGAAGAUUUUUCUAAUCACUGUAUUUUAAAAAAAAAAAAAAAAGUUUGAUCAGACAAUCUGUUCUUGCACUGAGUAUGCAACAUCAAAACACAAGACGCUUUUCUAUAUGCAAUAAAAUCCCUAUUUUCUUUGUAACACUGACUGAAACUGUCAAUCCUUUUCGAGCAGAGGCACAGUCACAUCACUGUCUCACUGGGCUCUUCCCAAUAUUACACAGUAUGUAACUGGUGGUCACAAGCAAACACUACAAAAUAAGACUUCUG
This is a long non-coding RNA of Oreochromis aureus, 2035 nucleotides long. NCBI's taxonomy places the organism in Eukaryota, Metazoa, Chordata, Actinopteri, Cichliformes, Cichlidae. The record is from Ensembl.